AUGGAAAGGUAAAUAAAGGUGAUCAAUAUGGAAAGGUAACUAAAGGUGAUCAAUAUGAAAAGGUAAAUAAAGGUGAUCAAUAUGAAAAGGUAACUAAAGGUGAUCAAUAUGGAAAGGUAAAUAAAGGUGAUCAAUAUGGAAAGGUAACUAAAGGUGAUCAAUAUGGAAAGGUAAAUAAAGGUGAUCAAUAUGAAAAGGUAACUAAAGGAAGUAUUGACUGGUUUCUAAAUGUGAUUGAGUUUGUA
Trematomus bernacchii (emerald rockcod) is the source of this 245-nucleotide long non-coding RNA. RefSeq lists it as uncharacterized. The record is from RefSeq and is a predicted model, not a curated record. The transcript is spliced from 3 exons. Lineage: Eukaryota; Metazoa; Chordata; Actinopteri; Perciformes; Nototheniidae.